This 262-nucleotide ribosomal RNA is filed under the name uncultured prokaryote. RNAcentral's name for it is "partial 16S ribosomal RNA". It matches the Rfam family "Bacterial small subunit ribosomal RNA", at positions 524 to 784 of the family's 1533-position model. The record is from RNAcentral.
UACGGAGGAUGCGAGCGUUAUCCGGAUUUAUUGGGUUUAAAGGGUGCGUAGGCGGACUAAUUAGUCAGCGGUGAAAUUUUGCGGCUCAACCGUAAAACUGCCGUUGAAACUGUUAGUCUUGAGUGCGGUAGAGGUAGGCGGAAUGUGUGGUGUAGCGGUGAAAUGCUUAGAUAUCACACAGAACACCGAUUGCGUAGGCAGCUUACUGGAGCGCAAACUGACGCUGAGGCACGAAAGCGUGGGGAUCGAACAGGAUUAGAUA